This is a long non-coding RNA of Microtus oregoni (creeping vole), 616 nucleotides long. RefSeq lists it as uncharacterized. NCBI's taxonomy places the organism in Eukaryota, Metazoa, Chordata, Mammalia, Rodentia, Cricetidae. The transcript is spliced from 4 exons. The record is from RefSeq and is a predicted model, not a curated record.
CCUGCCCCCAGCACCACUCCAGUUUCUGCCAGACUGAUGGAAGUCUCCAAACGAAAAUCUGCGCAGUCCUUCCAAGAAGCAGGGUUCUGCUUGAUGUUGUCGGAAAGCUGCCAAGGCAAAAGACUGGAGAACUGUGAACACUCUCGCCCCGGGGAUCGCCUUUUCUUUGUAAUGGAAACACUUCCAGUUUGUGAGAACAUUGUUUCAUUAAAGAUCAGCAAGGACAGAGAAGCUUCCAGAGACUAUAUUCACUGAAGUGGUGCUCACUUCUCACCCAUGUUGAGCUUGGAACAGGAAGGCUGGCAUGAUCAUUCGCUUCACAUCAGAGGUUGUUGAACUGCCAGUGUGCUGAUACCACGCAGAAAUUUCCAAGUUUAAAGCAACGCUCCCUGGACUCAUGACAUGUCCCUGGAGAAAGCUACUUCAUCGUUCUUCAGACAAAAAAAAAAAAAAUUGAUUCCCUUCAGUAUCCUCCAGUUUCAUUACGACCAGAUAGAACUUUAUGUUCAUUCAGAUCGCUUCCAUGCCUGAAUUCUUGGUCAUCUUCCUGUCUUCUAGUUCCAUAAAUAAAGAUAUAAUAAUACUAAAUAAAUAAAGUUGUUUGAGUCUCGGUGAA